GCGACCUCGUUGCCGCAGGGCGCGGUAUGGCGGGGGGGGAAAGCGUUGUGCGGAAUUACGGGGCGUAAAGGGCGCGUAGGUGGCCAACUAAGUCAGACGUGAAAUCCCUCGGCUUAACCGUGGAACUGCGUCUGAUACUGGAUGGCUUGAGUUUGGGAGAGGGACGCGGAAUUCCAGGUGUAGCGGUGAAAUGCGUAGAUAUCUGGAGGAACACCGGUGGCGAAGGCGGCGUCCUGGACCAACACUGACACUGAUGAGCGAAAGCCAGGGGAGCAAACGGGAUUAGAUACCCCGGUAGUC
This 300-nucleotide ribosomal RNA is filed under the name uncultured Lactobacillus sp. RNAcentral describes it as "bacterial SSU rRNA". It matches the Rfam family "Bacterial small subunit ribosomal RNA", at positions 497 to 795 of the family's 1533-position model. The record is from RNAcentral. Lineage: Bacteria; Bacillati; Bacillota; Bacilli; Lactobacillales; Lactobacillaceae.